This 252-nucleotide ribosomal RNA is filed under the name uncultured prokaryote. RNAcentral describes it as "partial 16S ribosomal RNA". It matches the Rfam family "Bacterial small subunit ribosomal RNA", at positions 525 to 775 of the family's 1533-position model. The record is from RNAcentral.
ACGUAGGGUGCGAGCGUUAAUCGGAAUUACUGGGCGUAAAGCGUGCGUAGGCGGUUUCGUAAGUCGGAUGUGAAAGCCCCGGGCUCAACCUGGGAAUUGCAUUCGAGACUGCGAGGCUCGAGUGCGGAAGAGGGAAGUGGAAUUUCCGGUGUAGCGGUGAAAUGCGUAGAUAUCAGAAGGAACGUCGGCGGCGAAAGCGACUCUCUAGACCGUAACUGACGCUGAGUGUGCGAAAGCUAGGGGAGCAAACGG